AGCGCUGCCUACAAUAUACUCUCACAAAUGUUAUGCCGCCGUCUAUUACCGAUUGCAAGAGAGCUCGUGGGGCAAUAUCAGGCUGGAUUUAUGGAUGAACGCGCUACAAUGGGGCAGAUGUUUGCCAUCCGCCAGGUGUUGCAAAAAUGCCGCGAAUACAACGUGCCCACACAUCACUUGUUCAACGAUUUCAAAUCGUCGUAUGAUACAAUCGAUCGAGAACAGCUAUAGCAGUUUAUGCACGAAUACGGACUCCAGAUAAACUGAAACGAUUAAUCAAGGCGACGAUGGAUCGAGUGAUGUGCGUAGUUCGAGUAUCAGGGACACUCUCGAAUCCCUUCGAAUCUCGCAGAGGGUUACGGCAAGGUGAUGGUCUUUCGUCCUUGCUGUUCAACAUUGCUGUAGACGUAGAGGGUGUAAUAAGGAGAGCGGGGAUAAACACGAGUGGGACGAUAUUAAUAUUAAAGCUCGAAAUUUUGAGACGAUGGCGGAAACGUACAAAGUGCAUGAUGGCAAAGGGCUCCAAGGCGGGCGUGGGCCCGCCACCCCAAAUUUCUAUCGACGGUGAUGAAAUCGAGGCGGUUGAAAAAUUCGUGUACUUGGGCUCACUGGUGACCGCCGACAACGACACCGACAAAGAAAUUCAGAGACUCAUUGUAGCAGGAAAUCGAGCUUACUUUGGACUCCGCAGAACUCUACGAUCGAACAAAGAUCGCCGUCAUACGAAGUUAACUAUCUACAAAACGCUGAUUAGACCGGUAGUCCUCUAUGGGCAUGAAGCAUGGACCCUACGUGCAGAGGAUCAACGCGCCCUUGAAGUUUUCGAACGGAAGGUGUUGCGUACCAUCUACGGUGGAGUGCAGAUGGAAGACUGGACUUGCUGCCGAGAGAACCAACCAUCGUCCACACUGCGAAAAUCGGGAGGCUACGGUGGAUGGGUCACGUCAUCAGGAUGUCAGACAGCAACAAAAUGGUUUUCGAGGGUCAUCCGACCGGUACAAGAAGACGUGGUGCGCACUAGCUGGUAGGUCGACGAAGUGGAGGACGAUCUGCGGACCCUAUGCAGAAUACAGAACUGGAGACACACAGCCAUGGAUCGAAUGGAAUGGAGACGGCUGCUAUGUACAGCAGAGGCCAACCAGGCCAUACACACUUAAUUUGGAAUACCGUGUUCGGUACAUUUUUGACGAAAAUAGAACAGCUGAAUGCAGCUAUACUGCAUUGUUUACCUUUUAUACCUGUUAUACCUUUUACUCCCGGUUUUGACAGAUGGUUUACUGAGCCUCAGUAAAAUCGAUUACCGAAGCUACCGAAACAGUUCUGCUGUUCUAUUUUCUUCAAAAAAGUGCUGAACAGGCAAUUCAGGAUUGAAUGUGUAGUCUGAUCGGUAAGUAAGUAAGGCGUGAGCCACUACUGGCGAUCCGCUAAGGCCUAUGAAUACAGGGCGGCGUUUGUAUAUGUCACUCUGAUAAAGGCUAGCAAGAGCUCAACCACGCCAAACUUCGUUGGCUUACAGAAUAACUUUACUCCAACGCCUAGCUUAGCUAGUAUGUUAUAGUUCCAUCUUCGUCGGUCUUGGCCGACGUUCCUCCAGUUUUGAAGUCACCGAUCUUAACUUGGUCUCCUGCUGAAUAUUGUUUUCGCAAUUCUUGUUUCCAGCAUUCAUACUACGUGUCUAGCCCACUACUGUCUACUAUUUUCUAUAAGUUUCACAAUAUUCGCCUCGCUGUACACUUGGUACAGCUCGUUGUCCACAGCACUCAGUCACUAAAAAUAGCUUUUUUGUAUACCUCCUUUAAGGUCUGCGCCUCGUGACCUUCAAGGGCCAUAGGAAGAAUUUACCUAUCAUGCAGAGCUCUUUUGCGUUUGCAUUUGCUAGUUACGCAAUCCUUAAAAAACCCUAUUCGAAGCUGCAAUACGCCUUUCUACUUCACUGGGAACGUCACUGUCCCAAGUAUGUCAAGAAAAACAAAUUCAAACAAAUCCUCAUUAAUUACUAUCUCAGCACUAACACCAAUAGGCUUUCAUUUGUCUCUAGCCGCAAUUACGUACUUCGUCUCGGACAAGAGCAUAAGCUUCAUUCACAGCCCUAAGAUCGAUAUCCAUGAGAUCAAUAUAGUCCGCAAAGCCGUGGAACAUGUGCGAGCGUAUGAUGGAUGAUUGUGCCAUUCCUCUGCACACCAGACUUCCUAAUCACUUCUUCGAGUACAAUACUGAACAGUACCAUAUGGCAACAGCUGUAAAGGCGUGAGUAUUCAGCAUGAUCAAGCUGAGGGUGACGGGUUCGAUCACCGUUCGGUCCAGGAACUUUUCGUAGAAAAAACUUUCUUGCCUUCCUUGGGCAUGGAGUAUCUUGUGCUUAAUAAAAUCAACAUUCCACCGUGUGAUCAACACGAUCUUCACAAGUUGAUUCAUAUCGAGCCCUGAUCAGCAUCCCAACCACAGGAUCAAAUCGUAGGCAAAGAUUUCAAAUGGUCAAUGCUUUUCUUUGACUAACAAGCGAGAAAAAAAAGUAUCCGUAAAUACAGUCAGUCCCCAUAUGAAUUCGUCAAAUAACUGCUUUUUACCUUCAUUCAACGCAUUUUAGAUACUAAUGAAGCUGUAAACGAAUGGUUAAGAUAAAGAAAGACACAAUGAGAAGCGCCCCAUUAGAUAAUGGAUCAUGGUUAGAAAAAAGAAAAGCAUCUGUUUUAGCGUUCUCUCCAAAGAAUGCUGAACAGCUUUUAAUUAGGUGUCCGAUAAAAAAAUCGAUCAUCACCAGAGCCUGGAAGAUUCAUUCAAAAAUGAACGAAUUGCUAGUUUUCACGCUGCUUUGAAUCACAUUUUUCGUUCGCUCUCCUGGACUGCACACCAUCGCACAUCGCUUGGCUCACGAAGAACGGCGGAAGCAACUAAACAACACUCAAGUCCACCGGUGGGUGCGAAUGCCUCAUGCUGAAGUAUAUUCACGACCAACCGUGGCGAUGAAUGUUUAUCACUCGUCGGGGCUGACCGAAGCGAGGAAUGCCAGUUCCACUCUCCUUUGCUUGUUGCUAAAUGAACGAACCAAACGUACACACUAUCAGCAACAGAGACAGAUAUAUCCAAGCCACAUGUAAGAGCGAGAACGCAUGUGUUGCUUCUCGGUGAUAAACAAACACACACCAGAAUAUUCGACGCCGUCGUUUCCAAUAAAUAGAGAUAAGUGACAUUUCAUCACACGAACACUAGCUUGAAUUUUUCCAUACACAAAAAUGCACGCCAAUUCAAAGGCUAUUCAGAUUGCAUAUGAAAAUAUUACCCAACUGAUUUGGGUAAAACGGCUAAAUAAUGAUAAAACUAACAACCGGGGUAAGAGUGCACAUAUUUUCCCCCAAGUUUCACUACUACCCCACCAGGAAAAAUGUGAGACGUGAGACAUCUGUGAGGCACUGUUAGGUAUGCUGCUGCUCGAACAACAUGCAGCAUAUGCUUUUCUUCUUCUUUUUUUGGUUUUGUUUAUGUUGUUGUUGUUGGAAGUUAUGCAAGCGAAGCUGUUUGCAAAAAAAAACAACAACCGCCGCGAGUAGGUACAACGUCGUCUGUUUUGAAUGGUGCCGGAAAAAGAAUCGGUUCGCGGGUUCGCAGUAUCCGGGUGGUUUUUAUACGUAGAAGCCCAGGUUGAUUCCGGUUUCGUGCGCGGUAAGAUCCGGGAGACAGAUUAUAAACAAUUCGGUCCUGAAAGUCUCUCAAGAGUUUUCUUUUUUGCCGGGGUUGGAGAUGGAAAAAAACCAGUUUGCAAAAAAAAAACAACCUCCGAGAGUACAACCGUACAAGGUCGUUUGUUGGAUGGUGCCGGUAAAACAAUCGGCACAUAUCGGUUCGCGUUCGCAGUGUCCGGGGAUCUUUGAAGGUGAAACCAAAGGAAACGCAGGUGGAUUCGGGUUCCGUGCGUGGUCAGAUCCGCGGCGCGGAUUUCGGCGCUGAAGUGUUCCAAGUGUUGGGUUACGUUUGUUUUGGAAAGGAUGAGUUGGUGCCAAUAUGAAAUAGUGGAGAAAACGGUUUAUCCUGGAAUAAAGCUAACAUGUGAAAAUGAUGUUAUCCACGAUAAGAAAAGGUGUUCCGGGAUCCGGAAGGGGUGCCUCAUGACAUGUGCGAUAAGUGUUUAAGUUUUUGCGCUUUUUUCGAAAAAAUGUUUCACAAAGGUACAUAUUAAAUAGUGAAAAAUAUUGAAACGUGGAAAAAUGGUGUACCCUGGAACAUGCAAUAAUGAUGUUACCCAGGAUGUGAAGUAGUGUUUGCAGUUGCGAAUAUGCGCUCCCUAGUCCCGCAAUCUGUGGACAAAGAUUCGUUGCGUGAAAACGGAAUCUGACGGAACUGCGCGAACCAUGGGAUAUGCCAAAUAAUAUGCAGCGAUGGAUUUUGUCAACGAGGACUGGAAACGAUCGGCCGACAGAAUAGAUUCAUCAGCGCAGCGUUUAUAUAGUCCAAUGAGUAAGUAAAUUUGUACCUUUUUACCUAACUCCAUGGUGCAAUUCUAAAUGCUCAAUUAAGCAAUGCUUUAAAAAUUUGAAUUUUGUUGAGAAUUGGUAUCGUAAGAUGGUGAUUCUUAUGGAACUCCUUGGAGUAAUUCUCAGUGCUUGAAUAAUAAAUUUUGUUAAGAAUUGUUGUCGUUAGAUGACGGUUUUUAUGAAACUCCUUGGAGCAAUUCUGAGUGCUUAAUUAAGAAAUGCCUCAAUAAUCUGACUUUUAUUAAGAAUUAUUGUCGUAACAUGGCGAUUCUUAUGAAACUCCUUGGAGCAAUUCUGAGUGCUUGAAUAAUAAAUUUUGUUAAGAAUUGUUGUCGUGAGAUGACGGUUCUUAUGAAACUCCUUGAAGCAAUCAUGAGUGCUUGGUUAAGAAAUGCUUUAAUAAUCUGACUUUUGUUGAGAAUUGGUGUCGUAAGAUGGCGAUUCUUAUGAAACUCCUUGGAGCAAUUUUGAGUGCUUAAUUAAUAAAUGCUUUAAUAAUCUGACUUUUGUUGGGAAUGGGGCACGUUCGAUGUAGUACUAGAUUUGUAGUAAUGAGCUGAAUUUUUGUAUGGUGAGAAGGUCAGUUCUCUGUUUCUACAAUGAAAUGGUACAAAAAGCGUGGGUAUUAUGAUUCCUUGCCUAAUUUGAUGCUGUUUGAGCAAAACUUUGGAUAACUAUAUUGUUUAUGUUGCAAGAAAUUGAGAAAACAACAACACUGUUGCCCAAAGUUUUGCUCAAACAGCAUCAAAUAAGGCAAGGAAUCAUAAUACCCACGCUUUUGGAUCCAUUUCACUGCAGAAACGGAGAAUUGACCUUCUCACCAUACUAAAAUUCAGCUCAUUACUACACAUCUAGUACUUCACCGAUCUGUACUAUUGGUGUUGUAAGAUGGCGGUUCUUAUGAAACUCCUUGGAGCAAUUCUGAGUGUUUAAUUAAGAAAUGCUUUAAGAAUCUGACUUUUGUUGAGAUUUGGUGUCGUAAGAUAGCGAUUCUUAUGAAACUUCUUGGAGCAAUUCUGAGUGCUUGAAUAAUAAAAUUUGUUAAGAAUUGUUGUCGUGAGAUGACGGUUCUUAUGAAACUCCUUGAAGCAAUCAUGAGUGCUUGGUUAAGAAAUGCUUUAAUAAUCUGACUUUUGUUGGGAAUUGGUGUCGUAAGAUGGCGGUUCUUUUGGAACUUCUUGGAGCAAUUCUUAGUGAUUUAAUAAUAAAUUUGGUUAAGAAUUGUUGUCGUAAGAUGGCGAUUCUUAUGAAACUCCUUGGAGCAAUUCUGAGUGCUUAAUUAAGAAAUGCUUUAUUAAUCUGACUUUUGUUGAGAAUUGGUGUCGUAAGAUGGCGAUUCUUAUGAAACUCCUUGGAGCAAUUUUGAGUGCUUAAUUAAGAAAUGCUUUAAGAAUCUGACUUUUGUUGAGAUUUGGUGUCGUAAGAUAGCGAUUCUUAUGAAACUUCUUGGAGCAAUUCUGAGUGCUUGAAUAAUAAAAUUUGUUAAGAAUUGUUGUCAUGAGAUGACGGUUCUUAUGAAACUCCUUGAAGCAAUCCUGAGUGCUUGGUUAAGAAAUUCUUUAAUAAUCUGACUUUUGCUGAGAAUUGGUGUCGUAAGAUGGCGGUUUUUAUGAAACUCCUUGGAGCAAUUCUGAGAGUUUAAUUAAGAAAUGCUUUAAGAAUCUGACUUUUGUUGAGAUUUGGUGUCGUAAGAUAGCGAUUCUUAUGAAACUUCUUGGAGCAAUUCUGAGUGCUUGAAUAAUAAAAUUUGUUAAGAAUUGUUGUCGUGAGAUGACGGUUCUUAUGAAACUCCUUGAAGCAAUCAUGAGUGCUUGGUUAAGAAAUGCUUUAAUAAUCUGACUUUUGUUGGGAAUUGGUGUCGUAAGAUGGCGGUUCUUUUGGAACUUCUUGGAGCAAUUCUUAGUGAUUUAAUAAUAAAUUUGGUUAAGAAUUGUUGUCGUAAGAUGGCGAUUCUUAUGAAACUCCUUGGAGCAAUUCUGAGUGCUUAAUUAAGAAAUGCUUUAUUAAUCUGACUUUUGUUGAGAAUUGGUGUCGUAAGAUGGCGAUUCUUAUGAAACUCCUUGGAGCAAUUUUGAGUGCUUAAUUAAGAAAUGCUUUAAGAAUCUGACUUUUGUUGAGAUUUGGUGUCGUAAGAUAGCGAUUCUUAUGAAACUUCUUGGAGCAAUUCUGAGUGCUUGAAUAAUAAAAUUUGUUAAGAAUUGUUGUCAUGAGAUGACGGUUCUUAUGAAACUCCUUGAAGCAAUCCUGAGUGCUUGGUUAAGAAAUUCUUUAAUAAUCUGACUUUUGCUGAGAAUUGGUGUCGUAAGAUGGCGGUUUUUAUGAAACUCCUUGGAGCAAUUCUGAGAGUUUAAUUAAGAAAUGCUUUAAGAAUCUGACUUUUGUUGAGAUUUGGUGUCGUAAGAUAGCGAUUCUUAUGAAACUUCUUGGAGCAAUUCUGAGUGCUUGAAUAAUAAAAUUUGUUAAGAAUUGUUGUCGUGAGAUGACGGUUCUUAUGAAACUCCUUGAAGCAAUCAUGAGUGCUUGGUUAAGAAAUGCUUUAAUAAUCUGACUUUUGUUGAGAAUUGGUGUCGUAAGAUGGCGAUUCUUAUGAAACUCCUUGGAGCAAUUUUGAGUGCUCAAUUAAUAAAUGCUUUAAUAAUCUGACUUUUGUUGGGAAUUGGUGUCGUAAGAUGGCGGUUCUUAUGGAACUCCUUGGAGCAAUUCUGAGUGCUUGAAUAAUACAUUUUGUUAAGAAUUGUUACCAUGAUUCUACCGUCAUUCUUAUGAAACUCCUUGGAGCAAUUCUGAGUGCUUAAUUAAGAAAUGCUUUAAAAAUCUUGGAGCAAUUCUUAGUGAUUGAAUAAAAAAAUUUGUUAAGAAUUGUUGUCGUAAGAUGGUGAUUCCUAUGAAACUUUUUGGAGUAAUUCUUGAAUAAUAAAUUUUGUUAAGAAUUGUUGUCGUGAGAUGACGGUUCUUAGGAAACUCCUUGGAGCAAUUCUGAGUGCUUGAAUAAUAAAUUUUGUUAAGAAUUGUUGUCGUAAGAUAGCGAUUCUUAUGAAACUUCUUGGAGUAAUUCUUGAAUAAUAAAUUUUGUUAAGAAUUGUUGUCGUGAGAUGACGGUUCUUAUGAAACUCCUUGGAGCAAUCCUGAGUGCUUGGUAAAGAAAUUCUUUAAUAAUCUGACUUUUGCUGUGAAUUGGUGUCGUAAGAUGGCGAUUCUUAAGAAACUUCUUGGAGUAAUUCUUGAAUAAUAAAUUUUGUUAAGAAUUGUUGUCGUAAGAUGGCGAUUCUUAUGAAACUCCUUGGAACAAUUCUGAGUAAUUAAGCUAUGCAUCAAUACCGUAUGCGUAAUAAUGUUUGCACCAUCGUUGAAUAACGUUCCAGUUUUACUUGUGAAUACAAUAUAUUGGUUUUAUUUGCAGGCAUUUCAGCUAUAACUCAUAUCAUGACAACCAGGGUUGGGAAUAUUCACUUUAAACUUACAAGAGCUCGUCAAUCGACUGGCAACGCCGUAGCUCAGCAAAUAUAUAUACGGUAAAACUUAAAUUUCCUAUCUGAAUUUCGGCCAAACAUUUUCACAUUCUCAGCAAAUAAACAACACGAUUGAAAAACAAGUUUGCGACGGUGUCAAUUUUGAUAAAAAUGAUGAAAAAUGGCCGAGAUUCGACGAUAAAAAAAUAAGUUUGUUGCAAGAAGUUAACUCGUCGAGAAACAUUUUAUAAAAAUACAAUUUAAUAUAUUUUGUUGUUAAUAAUAAUAUUAUCUGAAACUGUUUUGAACGAUGUACUACGGUAUUCUAGCAGCAACCCAUUUAUUUUUGGAGAAAAAUUGAGUUUGUUUAGAGGAAGAAGGAAUUCUUGCAGGUGAGUUUUAUUUUCUUUCCACUAUUCAUACUCUUAAUAAGAUUGUUUCUUUCGCAGACUUUAGUCAAAAUGAUUAUCAUUAAUUUGAGAGGAGGAUUCUGUGCUGGAAAUGUAGAAAUGAACGAUUCUUUAGUUUAUUUUAAUUGUACCAUCAACUUUGUGCCCUGAUAACAUAAUAUAAAUAUUGAACAUUACGAAAUCUGGAAGUGAAUAAAUAAACGACUCGUUUUUAGAUUAGGAACUGUUGAGCAGUUAUGCAAACAAAGAAAUACUUUUGAAAUCAGAUCUUCAAGACUGUGCAAAACCCCUAUCCAUUCUUAAUCGUGUUUCCGCCUUCAUCAACCCUGGAUAAUAAGCCCUGUAUGCUACAAGAGGAAAACACUUGUUUCAGCAUUUCAAUAGGAGUAAUAACACAAAAUCAAUUAAAAACAAUUAUGAAAAAAUAAUAAUAGAAAAACAAUGAUUUUAUUAUUUUAAAAUAAUCGUUUUGAAAAUAAUAAAAACUAUUUUCUCUUAGAAACGGCUACGCAAUCUUUUAACAGUGAAACGAUGUUUAUUAACUGCCCAACGUUUCGACACGGGAUUAGUGUCUUCUUCAGGGGAACUGGAAUUUACUUACAUGUACAAAUUCAAACUUUUACAUAAUUUUGUCGAAAAUAACUUACAUUAACUUGGUCGUUCUGGUCUUGUGUUUUGUCUAACUGUAACUGUCCUGGUAAUGUUUUUUUGGUACAUGCUGUAAAAUUAUUGUCAGUAGAGUUUGAAUUUGUACAUGUAAGUAAAUUCCAGUUCCCCUGAAGAAGACACUAAUCCCGUGUCGAAACGUUGGGCAGUUAAUAAACAUCGUUUCACUGUUAAAAGACUGCGUAGCCGUUUCUAAGAGAAAGUUGAAUCCCAACAGUCGAACCUCCAAUAGCAAAUAAAAACUAUUUUUCAAAUAAUUCAAAAUAUUCUACUAUUGAUCUUAUGGCAACUGAUGAAUUCAAUUGUUUUUUUUUAGCAAACACGUUUUUCUUAAGCUUAUGCUAGAGCUUGAUUAACCACCCGUGAAUGCUUCGAAAAUUUCCAUAGGAAUCUCUGGAAGGAUUCCCGAAAGAAUAUAUGGAUGAGUGAACGAAGGAAUCUCUGGAGUAAUUCUUCCAGAAAUCCUAUACACUACGGAAGGAAAUUGAACAAAGAAUAAUUCUUGAAGUAAUCUGUGGAGAAACUUUCUUUGAAUCUGUAGAAGAAUCAUAGAAAUAAAACUCAGGAGGCAUAAACGAAGAAAUCUCUGAAGAAGUUCCUGGAUACAUAACAAAGAAAUUCCGAAAGAAGCUCUGAAUAAAUAUUCUAUUUUGUAUUUGAAGUAAUUCCUUAAGUUAUCUCUGGAGAAAUAAACUAAGGAAUAUGUGAGAAAAUGCCCGAAGGAGUUUGUGGACGAAUUAUCGAAAUUAUUUCUAGAUAAAUUUCUAAAACAAAAUCCUGAAGAAAAGAGCAAGGUGUUUUAUGAAAAAAUAAUGAAUGAAUCUGCGCACGUAAUUUUGAAAGAAUAAUGUCUGGAUUAAGCUCCGUCGGGUUCUAUGAAGGAAUUCCAAAAGAAAUCUCUAGAGAAACUACCUUGGCAAUCUCUGGAUGAACUCACAAAGAAAACUCUGGACGGAUGAACAACGGAAUUUGAAGGAAACAUUCUUUAAGGAACUUUUGGAAGAAUUCUCGAAGUAAUCCUUGUGAGGAUUCUCGAUCGAGUCUGGAGGUUCUGGAAGUUCUAGAAGAAAAACGAAAGAAUGUGGGAAAAUUUUUAAACGAUGAAUUUGUGAUAAAAUCUAAGGAGUAAUUCCCGUAGGAUUGUGUGGGGUUGUUUCCUAAAGAAUCUUUGAAGCAAUUUUCGAAAAAAAAAUAUCUCUGAAAUAUUUUAGGAGAAAAUCCCGCAAGAACUUCCAAAUAAAAUUUUAACGGAAUAUAUAAAAUAAUCCCUUUAAAGAACAAAUAAAUUUGAGGAAAAUUCUGUGGAAGAAUUUUUAAAAAAAUCACCAGGGGAAUCACUGAAAUUUUCUAAUAAGAAUCAAGUUGAAAACCCUGAAGAAAUGAACAAAGAAAUAUUUUAUGAAAUGAAGAAAUUCUUUGAGGUAUCUCUGGAAUAAUUCCGGAAAAAAUAUGGGGAUGAAAAUCGAAGAAUUCAUAAUAUAUUUUUUUAAUUCUUAAUCACUUAACCUAAUUUACAGCUCUAUUGUCCACUGGGGCACUACGUGAGCAAUUUCAAUUGACAGCUGCACUUACAUUUUGUACAGCGCCUAGAUUCUAUUCUACUUUAUCGAACUGGUUGCCUUUCUGCUGCUUUCACUUUUUCUACUUUAUACCUAGUAGAAUGAUGAGCACAAGGAUGGUGAUGGAUGGCCGUUGUUCCUUUCCAGUCCGAUUGGGGGUCCACCAUUAUGAGUAGCAGUUCGCCGAUAUCCAGGUAUCCGUUUGAGCCGAUAUCCAGGGGUCCGUUUGAGCCAUGGGGCUCAGAAGAAGGUCAGUGUCAGUUGCUCUCGGGGGAAAAGCAACUGACGAAAAAUUGCAAGUGCCGGGGCUGGGAAUCAAACCCAUGACCAUCCGCAUAUGAAGCGAACGUGUGACCAACUACACCACGGGCCCCGGCUCAUAAUAUAUUGUUUGAAGGAAGAAUUUUCCAGUAGUUCCAGUGGGAUAUUUCGGAACUAUUUCCUAUACCCUUUAAUCCCUUUAGGAUUCGCAAAAGGUAUUUCUGGAGAACUACUCUUUAUCUGUCGAUUUUUAGCUUUGACUAGGCCUAGAUAAAACGGAAAUGAAAAAUAUGCGACAGUUAUAGUUAUUUAUGUAAGAGCAAAAAGUUAUUUUUUCAGCACGUGUCGUACAUUUAUCCAACGAGACUUGCCGAGUUGGAUAAAUACGAAGAGAGCUGAAAAAAUCGAGUUUAACAACGAGUUCUAUACAAAAUUUUAUGCAAUGAUUUUUUUUUAUAAUGCAACCCAUUUGAGUUGCAUAAUGUUCACUAUUUUUCAUUAUGCAACUCAUUUCAGUUGCAUAAUGAACCAGUUCGGAAAAAUUGGCCAUUAUGAUACUAAAAUAUAAAUUAUGAUACUAAGUUGCAUAAAAACUUUUUGAUGUUUUGCGGUUUUUGUCCACCUUUUUUAACUUGUUGUGGUAAAUCUCAGAAGGAACGUAUACAAAAGUUUGUUUGCACACAUACAAGUGUAAGUAAUGGCUGAAUUAUUGAAACAGUUUACAUCACAUAAAACAAAGACUAAACAAAGAAAAAAAUAGACGCGAAACUGUGACAGCUUAACAGCACAAUUGUCCUGGUUCGACACGAAAGGGAAAUCUCAGCAGGAAACUCCGAAGGAACCUGCGAUGAAAUUUAUGAAGGAAUAUUUUAAAGAAUUACUAAAAAACGUUCUUGUGAAAAGAACGAAGGAAUCUCUGAAGUUAUUCUCUCUUAAACAUCUUUGGAUGAAUUUUCGAACUAAUUCUUGACAAAAUGAACAUUUUUUUGCGAAAACCUUAAAUGAAUAUCAGGAGUGAUUUCCGGAAGAAUCUCUGGGCGAAUGAACUAAGAAAUCUCAAGAUUAGUUUUCUCAAAAAUCCAAACAUGACAAAGGAAUUUCUGAAGGACUGAACUAAGUAUGAUUUGAACUAAGUAUGGUUCCGUACAAAUAUCUAAAAAUAGUUCAGAAGAAAUUUCUGGAGAAUUCCUAUGAUAAUACAUUUUAUUAUUUUUAUUAACGAGAUUUUCAGCCCAGGGCUGGUUCAUCUCGGCUAAUAAUACAUUCAUCUCAUGAAAAUAUGUGUUUGAUACAUUCCCGAAGAAAUUUAUGGAGAAUUGAACGAAUUAAUUUUAUAGAUAAAAUCUUGAAGAAAUCUGUGGAGCAAUUCUAAAAAUAAUCUUCGGAGGAAUUUUCAAAAACAGUCACUGGAGAAAUUAAUCUCUGGAGAAAUCUCUGGAGGAAUUAAAAAAAAAACUUCAAAUAAUUCCACGGGUAAUAAACGAAGGUGGUUGUUGAAAAAACACUAAGCAAUUUGUGGACGAACUGUCGAAAUAAUUGCCAUAGAAAUCUUUGGAACAAUUUCUGGAGAAAUAAACGGAAGAAUGUCUGGAGUAGUUCUUUCAGAAAUCUCUGGAUACAUUCCCGAAGGAAAUUUUGGAACAUGAAAGAAAAUUUGUAUAUGGGUAUUUGAGCAAUCUGUUAACAAACUCUUGCAGUAAUUUUCCAAUAAUGUUUGAUGAAAUUUCCGAAAAAAAAAUCGCUGAAGGCAUGAAUGAAAAAAAAUCCUUAUCCAAAGAAAUUUCUGGAGGAAGCCCGAAAGAACUUCCGAAUAAAUUUUCAAUGGAAUGUUAAAAGGAAUUUUCCCAUCAACAACAGGGAGGAAAAAAGGGAAAUCUUCUAAAGGAAUUCAAGAAAGAAUUUUCAAAUAAUUUUUGGAAAAAAUACCGAAAAAAAAAUGAAACAAUUUCUGCCCUGGAUCUAGCCCCUCCAGCAAUCAUUGGAGAAAUGCUCAAAGGUAUCUCUGGAGAGAUAAACUAACGACGAAUAUGUGGAAAAAUCUUGAUAGAACUUAUGGAGGAAUGUUCAAAGAAAUCUGUAGGAAUCCUCGAUAGAGGAUAUUCGAAACAAAAUGGUGGAAACAUUCUUGAAAGACAAAUUCUCGAAAUAAUCGAUGAAUUUAGAGAACUAUUCCUGAAAAAUAUUCCAAAAGAUUCUCUGGAGAAAUAAACAAAUACAUCUUUGAAGUAAUUCUUUCAGACAUUUUGAAAUAAAUUUUCGUUGGUAUUUCUGGAGAAAUGAUUACAGAAAUAUUCCGUGAUAUUCUUGAAGAUAUCUUAAAUUUAAUCUCUGGAAUAAUAAGAAUCUCUGCUAGAAUUUUCUUUGUAAUCGCUGUAGAACUUUUCAUAGGAUUAUUUGGAAUAGGGUGACAAAGGGUAUUAUCGGCAGGUUUGUUCUUUUCGUCAUGGGGGGUUUUUGUGGGCCAAAUUGUCUGAAAUUUGGGCAUACAACUCCGCUGGGUUGGGAAGGAUUUGAGUCCAACUUUGAGAUCAACAGGUUUCAAAAACCCCCACAUGACGAAGAAAACAAAACUGCCGAAAAUACGUAAGUUCCCCUAUGUGUUCUGAGAGAACAAAGAAAUCUAUGGAUAGGUUGCUGGAGGAGUUUCUGGAGAAUUAGGUUCUUAAUUGAUUGUACGAUAAUUGGAAUCUCCAUCCGAAAGUGAAUCGAAAUCCAAAAUGUCAUCACAUUUGGUGCACGAGAAAAAAAUAAAUAAAUUAAUUUGAAGUUUGAAUGUCUUUUUUUCUUCGGGGCGAACUGUCAACACAUCUUUCCCAUUCUGUUUUGUUUAUUUUGACAUAACAAAGACAUUGGAACGCAAUAAAAUUGCGUUAGAAAAUUUGCUUUUUUAAUUAGGCAAUAGAAAAUAGCACUAUUUUAUUCAUUGAAUGACCCAAUUGAACAAUUAUUUUUGAAAAAUCCUAGAAGUAAUCUGUUAAGGGACUACAUCUUUGGACAAAGAUUCCGUGAAAAAGUUUGCAAUGAAAUAUUUACGGCAUUCCCGUAAUAACCUGUUUUGAAAUAAAAGAAGAAUUAGUGGAAAUAUGUUUAAAGAAAUUUGUGAAUGAUUUUACAAGAUAAUUUAUGGAGACAUUUGUGAAAAAGUCUCAAGAGGAAAGGAUGAGGUCAAUAACUGAAAGGUUUUGAAGGGAAUUUCGAAAUUAUCUGCGGUUAUUUCUCAAAUAAUCUCUCAAGAAAUUUCUGUAGGAAUCCAAAAAUACCUCUAAACAAUAUUUUGAAUGAAUAUUUGAAAGAAUUCUUAAAAUACUCUCUGGGCAUAUAAACGAAGUAAUUUGUGAGAAAAAUCCAUACGGAAUCUAUGAAUAACUGAAAGGAAUUGUGGACGAAUGAUUGAAAUUGUCUUCAGAGAAACGACGAAACCUGUUGGACAACUCGUGAAGGAAACUAUGAAACACUUUACUGGAUUCUUUUCAGUCGUUUUUUUUUUCAGAAAUCUAAAUACAUUCCCGGACACAAAAUCUGCUGGAUUGAACAAAACAAUUUUGUUGAAAGUCCUGAAGAAUAUUUGAAAGAAUUCUAAAAAUAGUCACUGGAGAAAUACAAAGUAAUUUGUUUGAAAAUUUCAGACGGAGUGUAUGGACUUGUUGUUGAAAAAAAAUACCCAGAGCAAUUCCCGAAAGACUCUCUUGCUGAUUUCACGAAACAAAUCGUGGAGAAAUGUCCAAAACCGAAUCUGGAAGACUGAACAGAGAAAUCACUGAAGUAGUUUUCUAAAAAAAUCUGUAGAUCAGUUUUCGGAGAUAUGUACACAUUUUUUUUUUAAAUUCUUGAAGGAAUCUGUAUUAAUUCUUAAAUUAAUCUGAAGUAGUUCCCUAAAAAUCUCUGGUGGAACUUAUUUCCCUCAAUCCCUGAAGGAAUCUUUGGAGAUUUUCUCUCAGAAGCCUCUGGAUACAUUCCCUUAGAAUUUUCUGGAAAAUUUAACAUAGAAUGUUUUUGGUAAUGGUUUAAGGCAUCUGUAGAGCUAUUUUUAAAUAAAUCUAUGGUGGAGAAAUUUCUGAAGUAAUCUCUAGACGAAUUCUAAUAAAAAUAUGUAAAAUAAAUCCCGAAAGAAGCUCUAAAUAAAUAUUUGAUAGAUUUCCCGAAAGUUUUUUUAGAGUUCUUUUUAAGAAAUUUGUGAAUAAAUUUCCGAUGGAAUUUCUAAAAGAAUUACCGUAGAAAUCUAUUAAGAAAUGGUUUAAGAAAUCAGAGAAGAAAUUAACAAAUGAAUUUUCGGAUGAAUGAACAAAAUUUUAGGGAAUUUUAUCAACGGAUUUUGUAGAACAAUUCUCGAAAAAAAAAUCCGAAAUAAACUCUAGUGGAUUUCUCUGAAGUAUUUUCCGAAAAAGUUUUUGGAAGAAAAUCAUAAGAAUAAGAAAUCUCGAGAAAAUUGUAAAGAACUAUUUAUAGUAUCAAAACAUCAGUAAUCAUAAUAAUAAUGAAUGCAAUGUAUGUAGAAAAUCUCGAAAGAAUGUCUAAAGGAAUAAUCUAUAGAAGAAAGACAAAGAAAUGUUCCACAGGAAAAUUCCGAGAGAACUUCUGAAGAUACAUUUGAAUGAAUUUCUAAAAUGAUCUCUGGAGGAAAUCUGUGGACGAUCAAUUCCAGAAAGAAUCUCUCGAAAUUUGUUAGAGUAAUUUUUGAAAGAAUUGCCAAAAAGUCUCAGGAGGAAAUCCCAAGAAAAACUGUGAAGAAAUAUUUAAAAGAGUUUGUAGGAAAAUUCCUGUAAGAUCUGUGCUCGAUUUUUCAGAGCGAUCUCCAGAGCAAUUCCAGAAACAUUCUGUUGGGAAUUUGCAAAAACAUCGUGGAGAAAUUAACGAAUCCACGAUAUCUCUGGAAUAAUUUUCUCACAAAUCUGAAACAAAAAAAUCUAGAAUAAAAAAUUUUUUUUGGGAAAUUAUGGAAAAUACUUGAGGUCAAUUCUCAAAAUUUAACUCUGGAGGAAUGCCAGAAAAAAAAAAUAUGAAGUAAUACCCUUAAAUUCCCAAAAAAAAAUCACGUAAGAGAUUCCUGUGAAAUUAGCCUUUAAUCCUAAAAGAACAUUUGAAUAAAAAUUUGAAGGAUUUUUUGAAAGACUUUUGAAAAUAUGCUCUGAAGGAAAGAACGAAGUAAUUUGUGGGAAAACAUGAGACGGAAUUUGAGGAUAUAAUUUCGAAAUAAUCUCCUGAGGAAUUUACGAAACAAAUCCUGGAGAAAUUCGCAAAAGAAUAAGUACUGUAUCGGAAAUUAACUAUAAACUUUCACAACUGCCUAAAAACUAAUCUAUUCGAAAUAAACAUAACUUUAUUUUUGGAGAUACUAUAUAAAUCUCGAAUGAAUUUUUGACAAAAUGAAAAAAGGAAAAAAAAAAUGGCACUUAUGAUUUUUUUACACAUGUUUCUAAAAUUUUGGACACCUCUUAAAAAUUUAAAAUUGCGGAAACUGUGGGGAAAUAUUCAUUUUUUCUCUUAUUUUUACGCAAAUAUAUUCUUUUAAAGAACGCUCAUAUAGGAAAACUAUUUUUAUCAAGAAAACAUUCUACCGCAGUUUCGCGCAAUUCUUAAAAAUGAAAAAAAGGCCAUUUUUUGAGAAACUCUUUUUAUAUGCGUCUUCAAAGAACGAUUACGCAAAUAAAAAAAUACAUAAAUUUUAAAAUUCGCAUUUUUUCUAUUGGGCAUGUAUUUAAAUGUAGUGAAGAAGUAGUUUACCAGAGAACGGAUUUUUAUAACCUCUGAAGAUAUUUAAAACAGAGCGUCAAAGUUCGACCAAAAUUAAGUGUUUUUAGAGAUAGACCAUUUUCUAAAUGUUGGAGGUUUUUCUAUCUAAAAUAAGAAUUUUUAAAGUCGGUAUUGAGUGAUAUGUUAUGUAUACAUCCAGAUUUUUUCCCGAAUUAUUUUUUGCGCUACAAAUUAUUGAAACGUUAAAAAAAAUUAAAAAUGCAUUUUGUACAGUUUGUUAUUUGUGUGGUGUACUCAUAGAACCAUGUUUUCAAUAAUACUAAAUAUUUUUCAAAUUUCUCCAAGCUGUUCUAAACUUAACUAUAUUGUAAAGAUUUCGUAGAAGAACCGGAAUAAAAAAAAACCAACCGUGCUUCGAGAUAGAGCAUUUUGAACAUUUACAGUUAAUUUCCGAUACACUCCUUAUCACGAAAACUGAACAAAUAAAUCUCUAAAUUAGUCUUUCAAUAAAUUUUCGAAGACAUUUCUGGAGAAAUUGAUAUUUUUUGCACAAUUCUUGAAAGAAAAAACUUUGAAUCUUUUCUCUAAUGAGUCUCUGAAGUAAUUCUCAAAAAACAUGUAGUGACAUUUACUUAGCAAUCUUUGUAGAAAUUUCCAUAUGAAUCUCUGGAGGAAUGAACGAAGGUAUUCUAGAGUGAUUCUCUCAGAAAUUUCUGCAUAAUGUAUGCAAAGAUUUCUGAGAGAAUUACUCCAGGCAUUUCGGAGAAAUUUCCUCUUAGAUUUAACAUAGAAUGUUCUUGGGAAGUUCUUGAAGGAAUCUGUGGAAAAAUGUUGGAUGGAAUUUCUAAAUUAAUUAUCUGGAACCUCUGCAAUAUAUAUUUUAAACAAAUAUUCCAGAAAUAAUUUCAGGAGAAUUUUACAAAACAGUUUUGUUGGAGUAAAUCUUAAAAUGGAUAUCCGAAAGAUUUUCCAAAAAAUAUGGAGAAAAUUCCAAAAAAAUCAUGAAUAAAUUCUAAAUGGAGUAUUUAAAAAAAAAUCCCACUAUCUGAAUGUAUUUAUGAGAAAACUCUCGGAGGAAAUUUUAGACGAAGUAUCUAUAUAACUAUUAAAAACAUUUACAGAGAAAAUGAAAGAAUGAAUUUCCGAAAGAAUACAUGGAGAAAUGAACGCUGAUGUAAUUUUCUUGAAGGAAUCUGUGCAACAAUUCUUAAAUAAAUCUUUAGGAACUUUCUUGAAAAAUCUCAGGUAGAAAUUCCUUACGAAUCUAUGAAAUUCUCAAAGAAAUCUCUGGAGGAAUUAAAGUAGGAAUCUCUGGAGUUAUUCUCUUACAUCACUGGAUACAAUCCCGUAGCAAUUGAAAGAUUGAAUAAGAUUGAAUCAAGAAUGUUUCCUUGAGGAAAUUCGUGGAGCAAUUCUCAAAUAAAUCGGUGAAGAAAAUACAGAAUAAAAACUCAGAAGGAUUUGGAUUUGGAUGAUUUUCCGAAAAAUCUUAAAAGAAAAUCCCGUAAUAAGCUCUGAAUAAAAAUUUAAAAGAUUUUUGAAAGAGUUAUUAAAAUACUCUUUGUAAGAAAGUACGAAGUUAUUUGUGGGAAAGCUUGACACGGAAUCUAAGUAUACAUUUUCAGAAUGAUCUCCCAAGGAAUUUACGAAGCAUAGCCUGGAAAAAAUCCCAAAAGAAAAUCUCGAAAACGAAUCUUUGCAAAAAGUCUUUGAAGUACUUCUAAAAAUACCUGUGGUGGAAUUUUCUUAGAAAUCUUUGUCAAAAAGGUAAUUUAAAUCUCUGGAGGAAUGAACGAAGGUAUGUCUAGAUUAAUUCGCUCAGAAAUCUCUGCAUCAUGUAUGUAAAUAGAACACAGAAUGUUCUUGGAAAAUUGAUAUGGAAAAUUCGAAGAAAUAUCUACAACAGUUCUCUGGAAACUCUGCACUAUUUUUUAGAAAUAUUCCCGAAGCACUUUCAGGAGGGUUGAGCAAAACAUAAUUAUUGAAUUAAUCUCUGGAUGAAUUCUCAAAAAAAAAAUGUGGAACAAAUCCUGAAUAAAUUUUCGAUGGAGUCUUUGAAAGAAUUCCUGGAAAAUUCUCUGGAGCAAUAAAUGAGGGAAAUUUGUGAGAAAUUUCCGAAGGAAGCUUUGUACGUAGUAAAAUAAUCAUUGACAAUAAUAAUCAUAAUCAUUGAUAAUAAUCUAUAUAAUCAUUGAAAGAAAAAUAAUUUCAGAAUGAAUUUUCGACAGUUUGAACUGGAUGAAUGAACUAAGAUAUUUUUGGAAAUUCUUGAGAAAAUCUUUGCAGCUAUUCUGCAAUGAAUCUGGAAACUUUCCCGAAAAAUCUGUGGUAGAUUUUCCUGACGAAUCUAUUCAGAAAUUCCCAUAGGAAUCUCUGAAUGAAUGAACGUGGAAUUGGUUAAGUUAUCCUCUUUCAGAAAUCUUUGAAUUCAAUCCCGUAACAAUUUAUGGAAGAUUGAACAAAGAAUGUUUUAUUGAAGGAAUUUGUGGAGAAAUUCUCAAAUAAAUCUGCAUAAAUAUAAACUCAGAAGGUGCAAACGUAGAAACCUCCAGAGAAAUUCUUGAGGUUAUCUUUGAAUGAAUUUCCACAAAAUCGGAAAAGGAAAUCCCGUUUAAAGCACUGAGUAAACUUUCGAUGGAAUAUUUGAAGGAAUUCCCAAAAGAUUUUUCCAAAUUUUCCAAAAAAAAGCCCAGUUCCGUGUUUAAAAGGAAUCACUGACCGAUUCCUAGCAGAAACUCUUAACUUACUGUCAUUAACCCGUAAAUAACCGGGACGAUCUUCUUUUGGUAGAAAUGCAAUAUCUUCUUUGUUUUAAAACAUUUUACCUUGGAUUUUCUUUUAUAGUUAAGGGCAAUAGUUGAGCUAAGAAAUGCAUGAUACCUCCCCCCUUUGCACCCGGGAGCCGAAAAUACGUGACUUUUUUGUAUUUUUUUUAAAUAUAUUCUACAUGUUUUUGCCAAAUUUCAUCGUUUUGCUAAUCAUUUAUAAUUGUCGGUGAUCCUUGACAUGCAAUGUAUUAGUACCCAUAAUAGUCUGUUGAAGUUUUGCUCCCAGAACUAUUCUAAGGCCUCCAAAGUACUCCGAAGUUUGUGACACAAAUCCAACUUUCUCGACCAAAUUUCAUACACGAUGAAUGAUCACAGAACAUAGUCAACGGUACCCAAAAAGUCUCAAAGCACCCCUAGAAAACUCAUGGUACAUGAAUUGGGUGAUCUAGGUCAUCCAAACUACUCUGGAAUACAUUUUCUUAAGAUUGUUUCUCUUUACUUUAUCGAUGUAAUUCUUUCACGAUUACCUCUAUUGUAUUUCAUAAUAUUUUGAGUAUUUCUUUGUGUUACUUGUGCAUCCACUGGCAUACAAAUGAUCUUUAUGAUAUUUUGAAGUGUCGGAAAUUACCCGGAGUUUCUCGGAAAUUUCUCCAAGUUCCUCAAAUUCUCCGAUGAUUUCACGGGAAUUCCCCAAAGAUUUCUCCAGGCGUUCCCUUAAUUUCUCCUGGGAUUCCUUCAGGAAGUUUUCCUAGAAUUCCUCCAGGAAUUUCUCCAAAGAUUGCUCCAGCGAUUUCUUUAGAAAUUCUUCCAGGGAUUCCUCAAGUGAUUCCUCCAGGGAUUCCUUCGCGUAUUCCUCCAUGGACUCAUCAAGGAAUUCAUUCAAGUAUUCCUCCAGAGCUCCUUCAGGAAUUCAUCCAAGAUUUCCUCCAACAACUGAUUCAGGGAUUUCUUCAGGAUUCAAGUGAUUCUUCCAGAAAUUCCUCCAGAGUUUCUUCCACAAAUUAUUCCAGGGAUUACUUCAGGAAUUCUUCCAGGGAAUGUCUAUGGAUAAUUUUCCCGGGUAAUUUCUCCAGAAAUUCCUCCAGGAAUUCAGCCAGGAAUUUCUCCAUGAAUAACUGCUAAUUUAUCUAUGAAUUUAUCAAGGGAUUCUUUCAGAAAUUCCUCCACGGUGUCCUCCAAAUACUCUUCCGAGAGUUCCUCCAGGAAUACAUCCAGGCAUUCCUCCACAAAUUGAUCACGAUAUACCUCCAGCAAUUCCAACAGGGGUUCUUCCCGGAAUUCCUCACAGAUAUUCUUCUUGAAAUUCUUUCAGGAAUUCCAUCAGUCAUUCCUCCACGGAUUUCUCCAGAAAUUCUUACAGGAACUCCGGGAUAUAUUCCAGAAAUUCCUCCAGCAAAUACACCAGGAUUUCGUUCAGGAAUAUUUCCAGGAAUUUCUCCUGGAAUUACUCUACGAAUUCCUUCUGGAAUUAUUAGUCUAGGAAUUAUUCCGGGAAAUACCCCAGGAAUUCCUACAAGAAAUAUUCCAGGAAUUCCUCCAGGAAUAAUUGCAGUAAUUUCUACAAGAAUUGCUGUAGGAAUUAUUACAGGAAUUUCUCCAGAAAUUCCUUCAAUUCCAGUUAUUGCGGGAAAUAACUUUGCCUAGGGUAUAACUUUUUUCACAGCCAUCGGAUCACUUAGCGGUCUUCGACAAAGUUCUUUGGCAUAUAGUCACCUACAAUAAUACCAAAGGGUUUGAUUAUUGACCGCUUACAGCGCCACCUAGCGGCAAAAUCCGAAAACUUAAAAUUUCUGCAUACAUUUGGCCAAGUUUUCCCAUACAAACUUCAAGCGUUUUGAGCGCCCCCUUAGGCUCAACCGAUUUUGCUCAAAUUUUGAACGUAGCUUCUGGGAGUCCAAAACAACUGAUUUAGGAGGUAGGACUUGGUAUUUUUCGAAUUUUUUGUUUUUCAUAUAAGUGUGGGCCACCCUAAUCUAGGAGGUAUUCAUAAAGGAGUUUCUGGAGAAUUUUUCAAAUGAAUUCUUGAAGGAAUUUUCUGAAAAAAUCCCUGGUGGUGUUUCUGGCGAAAUUCCUGAAGAGAUACUUGGCAGAAAUCUUAGAGGGUUCUCUGGUGAAAUUCUUGGGGAAGGUCCAGUAGGAGUUUUUGGAAUGCCUGGAGGGAUUCUUGGAAGAAUUCUAGGCAGUUGUCUUGGAGGAAUUCCUGGAUGAAAUCUUGGAGAAAUUCCUUUUUCCUGGAAAUAUUUAAACGAGGAAUUCCUGGAGGACUUCCUAACGGAAUUUCCGGAGAAAUUUCUGAGGGAAUUUCUGGAGGAAUUUCUGGAAGAAUCCCUUGAGGAAUUCCUGAAGAAAUCCCUGGAUUAGUUGUGGGAGGAAAUUUUGGAUGAAUUCCUGAAGUCCUGAAGUCCUGAAGGAAUUCCUGGAGGAAUACCUGAAUGAAUUCUUGGAUGAAUCCAUGAAGGAAUCCAUGGAGGAAUUCGCGAAGGAAUCCCUGGGGGUAUUCCUGAAGAAAUCCUUGAAGGAUUCCUUGAAGAAAACAAUCCCUUAAGCAGCAACCCAGGAAGAAAUUCGAUAAAUUUCGCACCAUCGAAAAAUUUCAUGCACUACUAAAGCUUUUCAAUCGUAACCGUGGCCUUCACCAUUAUUAUUAUAUGAAGUUUCGUGCAUAAAAAUACCUAUGUCAACUCUAAUGCAUCAUGCUGAAAGCAUGUACCAUCUUUGAAUGCCAUGCUUCAUAUCAGCAUUCUCUGCACCAUCCCAAUGAUCUCAGCGUUGUCUAGGGAUCCUAUACACCACGGUGAAUUCAUGCACCUUAACUGCCGCACGCAAUUUGAUUUUUAUGCAGCAACUAAUGUUUACACCAUCUAAAAAUCUCAUGUUUCAUUUUAGCAUUCUAUAUAUCAAAUUGCAAUUAUUUGCUACGCAUGUACUAUCUUGGCGUUCCCUUGAUGAUUCCCUUGGAGGAAUUCAUGAGGAAUUCAUUGAUGAAUUCUUGGAGGAAUAACUAGAGAAAUUCCUGGAGGAAUCCCUGGAGGCAUUCUUGAAAGAAUCAUUGGAAAAAAAUCUGGAGGAGUCCUUCGAGAAAUUCAUGGAAGAGUUUCUGGAGAAAUUCAGGGACGAAUUUCUGGAGGACUUCUUGGAGGGAUUUCUGGAACAACCCGUGGAGGCAUUCCAGAAGGAAUUCCUGGAGGAUUCUCAGGAAGAAAAUUUGGAGGCUUUCCUAAAGGAAUCCUUGGAAAUCCAGGAGAAAGCUUUGGAAAAUUCCUGGAGAAAUCCACGCUGUAAUGCUAGAAGGAAUUCUUGAAGGAAUCUGUGAAGGCAUUCCAGAAUGAAUCUUUGGAGAAAUUUCAGGAGAAAUCCCUGAAGAAUUCCUAGAGAAAUUUCUGGAAGAAUUCCUGGAAGAAUCCCUGGAAGAACCCUGGAAGCAAUCUCUGGGGGAUCCCCAGGAGAAAUCCCCAGUAGAAACCCUCUUAAAUUUCCUAGAGGUUUUUCUAGAGAAAUUCCUGUAAAAAAUAUGCCAGAAUUCCUGGUAAAACUUCUGGAGGAAUUCCUGGAAGAAUCCUUUGAGAUAUUUCUGGGAGAAUAUUUUCGGCUUUCUGAAGGAAUUAUUGAAGCAACUUCUCGAGGAAUUUCUGGAAGAAUUCCUGGAGGAUUUUCUGACGGGGUUUUUGAGGAAUAUCUGAAGAAAUUCAUUGAUGAAUCCCUGGAUUUCCUGAAGAAAUUCUUGUAGAAAUUCCUGGAAAUUCCCUGGAGAAAUUUCUCGAGGAAUUUCUGGAAGAGUUCCGGGAGAAUUGAUUUUUCUGGAAAAAUCCGUGGAGGAAUUCUUGUAGGAAUACCUAGAUGAAUUACUAGAGUUAUACCAGGAGAAAUUUUUUGAGAAUUUCCAGAAAAAAAUCCUAUAGAAACCAAUGGAGGAAUUCACUAGGAUUUUCUCGAUAUUUUCAAGGAAUCCCUGCAGAAUUCUGAAGGAAAUUUUGGAGGAAUUCCAGAAGAAAAUCCCGAAGGAGUUCUUUAAGGUAUUUUUGGAAAAUAUUUUAGACUUCCUGCAGAAAUUCCUACAGGAAUCCCUGGAGAAAUUCCUGGAGAAAUUCCUGGAGGAUUUUCUUUAGGAAUACCUGAAGAAUUCCUUUAAAAAUCCCUGCAUUCCAAGAGGUAUUUCUGGAGAAAUUCCUGAAGAUAUUUUUGGAAGAAUUCAUGGAGGAAUUCAUUGGUGAAUUCUUGGAGGAAUAACUAGAGGAAUUCUUAAAGGAAUUUCUGGACAAAUAUUUAAGGAUUCCGGGAGGUAUUCUGGCAGAAAUUCCUAAAUUUCUGGAGAAAUUCCUGCAAGUAUUUCUGGAGACUUCCAUGGAGGUAUUCCUGGAAGAAUUCCUAGAAGAGUUCGGUGAGAAAUUGAUUGAGGAUUAUGUGGAGUAUUCCAAGGCGAAGUUCCUUGAGAAAUUCCUGGAGAUGUUCCUGGAGGAAUUUCUGAAGAAAUUCUUGGAAAAAUUCCUGGACAAAUUCCUGUAGGAAUCUAUGGAGGUAUCCCUGGAUGAAUUCUUACCUAGCGGAUUUUCUGGAGGAAUCCCUGGAGGAUUUAUGAAGGAAUUUCUGAAGGUUUUUUUGGAAGAAUUUAUGGAGGGAUUCCUGGAGGAAUUUUUGAGCAAUUUCUGAAGAAAUUCAUGGAUGAAUCCCAAAAAGAAAUUCCUUGAAAAUUUCCUGCAGAAUUUCCUGGAGGAAUCCCUGGAGGCAUUUCCAGGAGGAAUUCCUGGAAGGGUACCUGGAGGAUUUUUUUAGAAUUUUGAGGAGUAAUCCGUGAAGCAAUUCCUGGAGGAAUCCCUAGAGAAAAUAUUGGAGAAAUUCUGGCAGACAUUCCUAGAGGAUUUUUACGAGAAGAAAUUUUAGGAGGAAUUCCUGGAGGUAAAUCUGGAGGAACUCCUGGAGGAAUUCCCGGAGUAUUUACUGGAGUUAUUCCUGUAGAAAUUAUUUGAGGAAUUUCUGGAGAAAUAUAUAAGGCUUCCAGGAGAAAUUUCCAUUGGCGUAGCUAGAGGCAGGGCCUGGGAGGCAAUUUGUGGAGGAAUCAUUGGAGGAUUUCCCAGAGAAUUCCCGAAGAAAUCCUUGAAAGAAUUCCUAGAGGAAUCUCAGGAGGAAUUCAUGCAGGAACCCCUGGAGGAAUUCUUGGAAUGAUUCAUGGAAAAACUCCGAGAGGAAUUUCCGGGGGAAUUUGUUCAGGAGCCCCUGGAGAAAUUCCUGAAGAAAUUGCGGUAGUAAUUUCUGGAGGCAUUCCUUUAAGAAUUCCUAUAUGAGUUCCUGGAGGACUUUCUGAAGGAAUUCCUUGGGCAUUUCUGAAGAAACCUCUUAAAAAAUUCCUGGAAAAAUUCAUAGAGAAAUUUCUACAGAAAUUCUUGGAAGAAUCCCUAGGGGAAUUCUUGGAAAGAACCGUGAAGGAAUCCCUGAAACAAAUUUCAGGAGAAACCUCAGAAGGCAUUCCUGGAGGAAGUUCCGCACAACUUCCAGGCGGAAUCCCAGGAGGAAUUCCUGGAGAAAUCUCUAUAGGAAAUCUUAGGUAAAUUCCAUGGAUAGUUCAUGGAAGAAUUUCAAGGGCGU
Aedes albopictus (Asian tiger mosquito) is the source of this 24853-nucleotide long non-coding RNA. RefSeq lists it as uncharacterized. The record is from RefSeq and is a predicted model, not a curated record. NCBI's taxonomy places the organism in Eukaryota, Metazoa, Arthropoda, Insecta, Diptera, Culicidae. The transcript has 3 exons.